This 3166-nucleotide long non-coding RNA is filed under the name Homo sapiens (human). RNAcentral describes it as "HSALNT0132920". The record is from RNAcentral. Lineage: Eukaryota; Metazoa; Chordata; Mammalia; Primates; Hominidae.
CUGAUUCUUCCUGCUAAAGCGUUUAGGUGCUUCCUCACCUAAAUGCUUUCUAGACUCAGAUGGUGGACAAGCUAUCCUGUUCUGAGAAAGCUAAUGAAGGGCAGGCUAAAGGAACUGUCUUUACAUCAUUUUUUCUUUCUUCUCAAAUGUAUAUGCACAAAGGUUGAUGCUUUUCCUUUGUUGUUGUUGUUGUUGUUGUUGUUGUUGUUGUUCACAGCUCAUCGAAUGCCACUUCAGGUAAACUCAUAUAAAAUGCUCUCAUUUUAAAAAAAUAUUCUGCAGUUUUUUCAUUCUCUCUCUUUAAAAACAUGCCAAGUUGCCUCAGUAAAGAAUGCUGUUUUGUGUAUCAUGCCUGAUUGAAAAAAUUCUGCUCAACGAUGAUUGCAUGAAGAAUGGACAGUCCACCCUCUCAUCCAGAUGGCCCGAAUGGUGCCCUUGGUGUCCAUCAGACUGUCAGACUGCUGUUUACUGGGGCAGCUCCCAGGGUCUCUGCUCUUCUUUUGAGUCUGCACCACCGACAUCCUUUUCAGCUUCGAUUGGAGCUCCUGAUGCGUGCGAGCAAAGGUACGUUGACUGCUACAUCUCAUUAGCUGUGUGUUUUUUUCCCACCCCAACACUAGGACAUUUCUGCUUCAAUGACUUCUCAUCCUGAAUCUUAGCGUUGUUGCUCAUCUCUGAGAGCCAAAAGCAACUUUUACUGGGGACUCAGGACCAGGUGGUGGCUGAGGGAGCAAGCAGGGUGAAGGACAAGGAUCUUUCUGGAAACCAAAUCUGCAGGUGUCCGGGAUGAACUACCAAUGAAGGGGGAGGGAGUUCAACAUGUUUCCUAUCUCGUGAACUGUCUGCCCUUUUGUAGGAUAAAAGCUGCUGUGGAAGGAUGCCUGUUUGCAAGGAGGAAAGAGCGAGCUUCCUGCUUCCCAGGUCCCUGGCAUGCUCCCCCUGGUGGAAAGGCACUCCCUCCAAACUCUUGGAGAGGACUCAGGCUAAAAGUGGCAAGCUACUUCCAAGUUCCAGGUGACCCAUAGGCUGUGAUGUUGCCAUUAUGAAGAAAUUGCUGUGCUCAUCAACUUACUUUGAACCAAGCUGUUCUUUACCGAAUGCCCUGAAGUCAUUGGAAAGUCACACUACCUUGCUUUAAAGUGAAGAAUUAGAAUUGUUUCUCUGAAGAUGAGGGAGGUGCAUGAAGGAUGUCAGGUACAACAGUGCCGUGUGUAUGCUAUUGAGAACUGGACGGGAGUGAAAGAGAGUGAUGAAGACAACAGUCUAUACAGCAUCUCCUAUUACCUGUUAGCUCAGUGCUUCAUGUGCAUUACCUCACUGAAUUCUCGCAACAGCCCAAAAAGGUCAUAAUCAUCUGGAGAGACACAUUGGCAGAGAGACUACCUUAAUACAAUGGGGAAAAAUGACUAUGGGACUUUCUUUCCCCAGCUGUUUUGAGGCUUUAAAAUUUAUCUUAGAACCUCUUGGAACUAUCCCAUCAGAAUAACUGGAAGCCAGAUAAAACAUUAGGCAGUUCAUUCAUUUUAUUGGACGUGGAGUUUUGUCAGAACCAGCAUUUACUGUACUUCUCAUAGCUGUAAGCAAAGCAUUAGAAUUCAGCAACCUAAUGCUUUUCUUUUCUCUGCCAAGCGGGGUCGUGAAAUGGGAGAGAAAGCCUCCUUGCCUCUGUUCUUUGCAAACAGCAUGUAUUUAUUUGGGGUCAGUAGAGCAAAACAUCUGAUCGCUGCUCUAAGUGUUUGCAAACUUUUGGGCACUGGAGGGGACAUGCAUAUGAGAUGGAACAGGGCAUAGAUAAAAGAAUUCCCGCAUUACCCACCAUCCUGCCCAAAGAAACCACACGACUUCCAUGGCAGUCCCAGACUACAGAAAGGGAGAACACAGCAAGCGCCUGCAUUCUCUUCAUUUAGGCCCCAAGUCAUCCAAAAAUUGCCUACCACGGCAGUAGACGAGUUCACAUUUUAAUCAAAACAGGACUGCACAGAAACAUACGUCCACGUGAAAACCAGUACCCAGUGUUUAUGGUGGCUUUCUUUUUAAUUGCUAAAAACUGGUAACAACCUAAAUGUCCAUCGUCAGAGGAAGCGAUGAACAAACUGCGGUGCAUUCACACAACAGCGGUGCUACACAGCAGCGAAGAGGAGCAGCCGACUGACACGCACAACAACUCGGAUCUCAGGAGCAUCGCACCGAGCUGGAGAAGCCAGACACGAGCCGCUGCACACCGUAUGAUUCCAUGGCAUUCUGGGAAAGGCAAAACUCCAAGCACAGAGAACGCAUGAGUUGUUGCCCAGGUUUGGGGUUCCAGGAAGAGGAUGGAUUACUAAGAAGCACAGGGGAAUGUUUUGGGGUGAUGAAAAUGUUGUAUGUCUUGUCUUUUUCUUUUCUUUUUGUGAAACAGAGUUUCACUCUUGUCGUCCAGGCUGGAGAGCAAUGGUGUGAUCUCAGCUCACUGCAACCUGCACCUCCCAGGUUCAAGCAAUUCUCCAGCCUCAGCCUCUUGAAUAACUGAGAUUACAGGCACAUGCCUCCCCGCCCAGCUAAUUUUUGUAUUUUUAGUAGAGACGGGUUUUCACCAUGUUGGUCAGGCUGGUCUUGAACUCCUGACCUCAGGUGAUCCGCCCACCUCAGCCUCCCAAAGUGCUGGGAUUACAGGCAUGAGGCACCACAUUCGGCCAAAGUUCUAUGUCUGGUCACAGCCAUUUACAUUCAUCAGAAUUCACAGAACCAUCCAUCCUGAAGUGGUGAAUUUGCUGAAUAGAAAUUAUACCUCAAAGACCAGACGUUCAAAAAUGCCUUUGUGUUUUGUAAGCUUCAACACUCGCCCAGUGGGAACCACAAAAGCGUUGCCCAAUUUGUUGAAAGCAUUGCUGUUAUAACUUCAGCGUGUGGGGAGAAGUUAUGUUUUCAUACUGUCUUUGUCUGCUCUGGCCACCGUUACAAAACACCAUAGACUGGGUGGACUGAUCAACACGCAUUUCUUUCCCACAGUGGAGGCUGGAAGUCCCCAAGACCCAGGUUCCUGGGGAGGGCUUUCUUCCUAGCCUGCAGGUGACCAACAUCUGCUGUGUCCUCUUGUGACUCUUCCUCAGUUCCUGUGCCAGAGGGGUCGGGGGACAAGUGGGCGUCCAUCUUGUAAGUGUCCUCAUAAGGCCACCAUCCUGUCAAC